AACGAACGCUGGCGGCAUGCCUAACACAUGCAAGUCGAACGAGACCUUCGGGUCUAGUGGCGCACGGGGGCGUAACGCGUGGGAACCUGCCCGUAGGUUCGGAAUAACUCCCCGUAAGGGGUGCUAAUACCGGAUAAUGUCUGCGGACCAAAGAUUUAUCGACUUUGGAUGGGCCCGCGUUGGUUUAGCUAGUUGGUAGGGUAAAAGCCUACCAAGGCGACGAUCCAUAGCUGGUCUGAGAGGAUGAUCAGCCACACUGGGACUGAGACACGGCCCAGACUCCUACGGGAGGCAGCAGUGGGGAAUAUUGGACAAUGGGCGAAAGCCUGAUCCAGCAAUGCCGCGUGAGUGAUGAAGGCCUUAGGGUUGUAAAGCUCUUUUACCCGGGAUGAUAAUGACAGUACCGGGAGAAUAAGCUCCGGCUAACUCCGUG
This 433-nucleotide ribosomal RNA is filed under the name uncultured bacterium. Its description in RNAcentral is "partial 16S ribosomal RNA". It matches the Rfam family "Bacterial small subunit ribosomal RNA", at positions 29 to 507 of the family's 1533-position model. The record is from RNAcentral.